Non-coding RNA from Phalacrocorax carbo (great cormorant), 7891 nucleotides. Lineage: Eukaryota; Metazoa; Chordata; Aves; Suliformes; Phalacrocoracidae. The record is from RefSeq and is a predicted model, not a curated record.
UCUCAUCAAUGCCUAUAAAUAUCUGAAGGGUGGGUGUCAGGGGGAUGGGGCCGGGCUCUUUUCAGUGGUGCCCAACGCCAGGCCAAGGGGCCACGGGCACAAGCUGGAACAUGGGAAGUUCCCCCUGAACAUGAGGAGAAACCCCUUUGCUGUGCGGGUGCCAGAGCAGGGGCACAGGCUGCCCAGAGAGGCUGUGGGGUCCCUUCCCUGGAGACAUUCACCCCCCGCCUGGACGCGGCCCUGUGCCCCUGCUCUGGGUGUGCCUGCUCCAGCAGGGGUGGGACGGGGUGAGCUCCAGAGGGCCCUUCCAACCCCCACCAGUCUGGGAGUCUGGGAUUCUGUGUUGAGAUAACUGUUGGACUUGAUGAUCCUAGAGGUCUUUUCCAACCUUAAUGAUUCUAUGAUUCUAUGAUUCAGCUCAAGCAUUUGGCUAACUGUUCCUGAGCAUGCAAACUCACAUUGCAAUGUAGGGAAUUAUUAAAAUUAAACCCUUGCUGUGUUACAAAGGACAUUUUAAUGCUCAAGAACAGUUGUUCCUACAAAUGUUUGAGAAGGACACCUAUUUUGCAGCAACCUCUGAAUUAUACCAGGCACUGCAGCAGUGUGGUUCUUGGAGGCCAAAGAGAGCAGUGGUGUGUUUGACAGCUCUAGCUCUUUCUUGGGUUUAUUUUCUUUUACUUUUAGGAAUAAACUGUGCCCAUAUCCCAUUGUGGAUGAAAAAUUACCAGUGAUUCCCUUUGUUCUUUGCAAAGUGUCUCUCUGUCACUGUCAUCACACUGGAUGAGGGUAAGAAAUCGGAACGGAGAUGGGGACUGCUGAUGCAACUUUGGCUGCUCCCUAGAGAGCUGCCAGUAACUUGCAGAGCUUGGCACCCUCUCCCUGUGCAAGCAGGGAUGGGGCAUGUUCUACACAUCCAUUCCCACAUCCUCCAGCUAUGCCCAGCAUGGUGGUGGCGGAGCAGGAGGUGUUUACCAAGAGGGUGCCAGCUUCCUUGCACUGCCAUUGAAACACCUCCAAUCCUCCUUGACUUUCUGUCCCUGGUAGGAGGUCCUCCAGUCUCACAAAUGACCGAAACCCCUGUCUCCAGCUGCAUAUCCAGCCGCUUCAUGAACAGAUGACAUCAUGUGAUGGGUAUGGCAGAGACUGUUUGACCAUGCUGGCCUGGCAGUGACUGCCACCAAGCCGCCAUGGAAGGACGUGUCUUCUACAAGUGGUUUCCUCAGCCAGGCGGGAUGCCACCACCUGCCCGCACCACCUCAGCGUGGGAGGGCGGACCCAGUGCUGUGCCGCUGGUGUAGGAGAGGACGCCCCGCAGCAGGAGGACGUGGAACCCCCAAAGGAGUGAAUGUCAUAUGCGGUUUGUGCUAUUCCUUCUAGGUUUUUUCCCCAUUGCCUCCUCAACAGCAGUUAGAUGUUUAAGUGCAGGAUUUUGUUGCAAGAGGAAUGGUCACAGGGACCUUCUGCAGAGCCCUUCCCCGUUCUUUUUUGUCUCCUGGACCGCCAGGAUCCCAAUUUAUGUGUGACUUUUUCCAUAAUGCACUCCAGCAGAGUUACUUUGAUCCUUCCCAAUGGAAGCAUGGCCCACAGACCUCGAAAUCUGUUUGCUCAGGUGUGUGUCCAUAUAUAUUUUUUUUUUACACAAAACCCUUCAUUUCUCAGUUGUUUCUUUUUUUUUUAAGGAGACAGAUUAGUCAAGUGAAUUUCCACAACAGGUUUUAUUUGGCUCCAAGUUCAACUUUAUUGUGGUGCUGCUGCUGCUGCUCCUUUUAUUUUUCUUCUAUGGGGUGGUUGUGACAGGUUGGAGCACCUAAUUUGUGCAGGCAGGUAACCCAGAAAAUAAGGAAAACGCAACAGCUGGAGAAAUCAAGCUCUGAGGGCUGGAAUGGUUUCCUUGUGCAGAUUUGUCCAAAUCACAGCUAAGAAGGGGCACGGCUCGCUGAGAAAAUGUGUGCCCUGUGAAAUAAAAGGAUUAGGAAACCACUUUAUAGCUUGUGAGAUUUAUGGUUUCAGAACAAAUGGCUGUAGUUCACUUGGCCUGCAGCUCCAAAGGAGGCCAAAACAAACUGCUUGGAAGCUUUGUUUCAAGAGGAAGGCUCAGCUCCCCCCGUAAGUGGGUCUUUGUACAUAAUGGGAGUACUGCAAAGAGCCUUGUGUGUCCUGCAGCACCUCUAAGCUACCACUUUAUGUUGCCUGAAUGCAGUAAUACUGAAAGGUAAAUUCGUUCCAAAUGUCCCAGCACAGUGGAAAUGCCAGCCUGGAAACCCAGUGAUGGAGCAGAGAUUUAAAAAGAAUAGUUCAUGGGAAAGAGUGCAGGGGAAAUGUCUGACGUGACCUCUUUUCUCUCUCUCAGACCAAUACAGGCACAAGGCAUGGCAUUGCCUCGCUCUGCUGAAGAGAAGAACUGAGGUUGGUUUGGGUUUAGCAGAGCCAAAGAAGCUUCAUUUCAUCUUCAUUUGUGUUUCCAAGGGGAGCUCCCCUGUGUGGAGUCUCUGAUGUCUGAUAAAGGGCAAGCCCACAUCCAUUUAUUCGCUAUAGCGAGGAGAAUUUAAGCGUCUCUGUCUCUUGUAGUUCUGCAGGACCUGUGUUCCUCCCUUCCUUUGUAUGAAAUUGCCCGGUUGGUUCAAAGGUACUAGUGGAAGGCUUGAUAAGCUCCCACAAAUACCCCAGCACAAUUAGAGAGGUCUUUUAAUUCUUUCAAAAACUGGGCUAAAAAUAUCAAGUAAAAUAAUAGCAUAUGUAGGAGCAUGCAGAACUGUUAAUGUAAUUUCUGUCUGGCAACUUAGUCUAUUUUAGCAGACAAACAGGGUAAUUAAUUUACUUUUUUCUAUUGAAAAGCCAGGUGUAUUAGGAUUCUUUUUACUUUUAAAUGUGAUACUUCUAACAGAAUUGGAUAGCGUACUAAACUCUAGAUGAAUGAACUCGAUUAUUCUCAAUAAGCAGCUCAAAUUGAAUUUAUUCUGAAGGAUUCAGUCUUCCAGCCCAGUCACAUAAGGACUCGCUCUAGCGUGACCAGAGCAAUUCUGGCAUAGGGGUGUUUGUCCCUGCCUGAUUGCUUCGGAUUCGUUCUUGACACUGGGAGCCCAAAAGGACUCCCAGGCUGCUGACAACAUUUAUCAAGCCCAGCUGCCGAGGAAGGAUGCUGAUUGUAGGCAGCACAUAGUAUGUCAUGGAGAAAACAUUUCCUUCUGCUAUGCUUUCCAAGUCACUGAGGUCCUUCUGUGCAAACAGAGACAACGCUAAAUUCCUGCUUGGCAACCUUCAGCAUGGCUCUGCGGGGUCGUCUGCCUACCACAGAGAGCCACCUGCAUUUAAAUAUAUUCACCUUCUUUGCAUUAAUCUAAAUGUGCUCAGGAGCAGUAGGGAUGUGCAAGGCAAGCCAGGAAGGAGAGCAUCUGUCACUGGCAAAUGCGUCCAGAUUUUCUAAUGAGCCUGGUGAUCGUGGGUGCCUCAGUUUUAAACUGGUUAAUUUGCAGCUCCUGCCCAAAAGGCUUUCCAGCAGUAUGUUCAUGGCCAGUGCCUUUGAAAUCAGGUGCCAUUCAAAUGUCUUCUUCCAUAUAAUUUCAGAUUUCUGAGUACUACAGCCAUUCUGAGAAACUGGGGCCCUGAGAGACCAUCAAAAGGACUUAAAGAUUGUAAUAAUUGGUUUACUGGAUUAGAAAUUAGAAUAAAAUUUGUGCUUACUCACCUUUCAGUAAAUGAUUGUAUGCCUUGGUGCUCAUAUCUAAAUAUUUAGACAAGUGGCCUGACUUUGAAGGUUCAGAGAUUGUCUGAAAUCUCCCAUGCAGAUAGCCUGUCUUUUUGGACUGACUUUUCAUAUUAUUUAAACAGUGAAAAGCAAUCAUUUGGGAGCUGGAAUUGAUGCCAAGGAGCCUUGUAAAACCUAUGAGUCUCCCACUCUCUGGCCAAGCAUUUCCCUCCACCUCGUGGGUUGACGCUGUGAGAGCAAGUCCAAUAACGAUGAGAGAAGAGAAGGAAGAGGUUUCUGGGAACAGCAGCCAAGUCUGUCCUGAGGAAGUAUUUAGAGCUUGGUCUGUUAUGGAUUUGAGCUCUUCAGGCUUGCACUGAAAUGAAGUAUCAAGUGACAAGAGCCACAUUCACUGGUUCCUACAUUACAGCAAUAGUACAGAGAAAAAGAGGUCUUCCCAGUUCUGCGUGCUAAAUAGUUACUUCUAGUUUAUAUCUUCCCCAUUCCCAAUAAAGAAGACACACUGGACCACUCCUCCACUGUUUUAUUUUUUUCUUCUGGGAAACGAUGGGCAUCCUUGGUUCGCAGCAUGACCAAAAUCACCAUUCUCUCUGAAACAGCAGCUUCGUAUCUUGCUGCAGACACUGGCCAGACCCAGCACCACAGGGAAAACUGCAAAAAUCUCUUUAGAAUGUAUUAUAAGGUGAGAUACCUGAAGCAAAAGCUUUCUCCUGGCCUUUUCUUUCUCCCUAGUAGCUUGAAGUUCAGCCGUAUGCUAAGCAGUAGGUAUUUAUAGCCUCCCUUAAGCUUAAUAUUACUGAUUACAGCUCUGGAUAGUGUUUUUAUCCUUAUACAGCUAAUCUUUCCUUUGAAGGGUACUGGAACUAACCAGGACCAAGGCAUGGAUCUAUCUACUGUCCUGAAAUAGUCCAGGUUGUGUAGUUGUGCCUGUUGCCCGGCAUGGUUUUGGCCACGCUCUCCAGCAGUUUCCAGGGAGAGCACAGCCUUUGGGUUACUCUCAGCAGGCAGGAUGGUGGAGGACACUGUGUUUUGGUGAUUAUUUAGGUGUAUGGAUGUCAGCUGUGCUGUGCAAAUGGUCUUUCGGGUCAGAAAACAGUCUCUGAAUCAUCUUAUUUACUAGAAGAGAUGUAACCACUAAUAUUAACGUGGCUCUGAACUGCAGAGACACCGCUUGCCCUCCCGUUCUUGGAUUACUGCUUGCCUACAGAGAAGGACUGCUGGAGUUAGCAGGCUUGGAACCAAGGACGUGAUGGGGAAGGCGGCAAUGUAUCACGCUGGAGGAAGGUUGUUCUCAACAGGGUGGUUUGGAAUCACAUCAAAUACCUGAUCCCAACUGCUUCGGAGAUCCCUAACUGUCUCUUUGGCCCAACCAGCGGGUGAUGAGCACUGUGUUUAACCCAUUGUCUGCGACUGUAGAAUAAAUCCAGUGUAAGGACUAUGGGCUUUGACAAAGAUAAGCCAGAUUUUCAGUGCAGCUGCCAAAGCUGAAUAGUGGCUGGUUUGUGUCCAGUGAAGAACAGACUUGGGCUAAAUGGAACAGCUGCACAAAGAUGUUCAGCAUAAUAGCUCACCACUCUAUGUCUCCAUUAAUACUUGACAAAACCGAGAAGCUUUCAACACCAAAUGACACCUUCCCAAUUUCACCGAGUUCCCACGACAGUCCAGGGCAGUGUCCAAGUGCAAGGAAAUUCCAGGGAUGCUCAGAGGCGUAUCUCAGGGGAGGAGCUUGGAAGAAAAUAUCAGAGAGUUCAUGUUUUAACAGGCUACCCUCAAGAUAAUGGUGAGAAUUAGAGAUUUUUCUCCCCUUUCCGUUACUUGGCUCUGUAUCUCAGUAGCAAUUAUCAGAAGGGAAGUGCUGCACGGGAUAGGUGGGGCUUUGACAAACAACUGUACGAUAUAAAUUCUGGGACUGGCAAAUACGGUCAACAUAUCUUCUGAACUCACAUGACAGCACACUCAGUCUGUGUUUAAAACCAGUAACUGCAGGAAGAGAAGGUGGGAUCCAGAUCUUGGGCUGGUCCCCAACUCUGAUAUGGCAUCUCCAAAUAACAGACCUGAGAACGGGAGGAUAUGUGGCUCUCUCCUCUCUUUACCUGCUAUCACUAAUGGAAAAACUGCGCCUAAAACUGAUGUAUGUUUGACUGCAAAUCCCUUUUCUCCUUUCCUGAUUUAUUCUGUUUGCUUUCUUUGUAAUGAUUUGGGUCAGCAGUACACCUUGGCAUAGUCCUGAGUGCUGUUCUGAAUCGCAAAGAGAUACUUUGUGGGUAAGGUAACGCACUUAACAUCGCCGUUCUUCUGUUUGGCCAUCCCAAAGCAGAGAUGAGCAGUAUUAACCAAAAUAGGUUGUGACAUUUAAACGCUUGACAAGCCCUGGGCGACAGAGGUGACAACAAACUGCAUGAGCUCCUGUGACACACUGAACAAGAAAACUAGUAAGGUUAUACGUGCAAAUCAUGCUACAGCAUGGAGACUAUUUCCAGGAAUCAAAUAGUCAAAUACUGUACAAAAAACCUGUCUUAAACUUGUGUUUGCAUCCACUGAAGUUAAUGGUAUUAUCUGUGAUUUGUCAUAGAGAACUCAUAAUGGCCUUGGCAGUUAAAAGGACUUAAAUGGGGACUUUUUCCUCCACGUAAAGGCUGGAUGAGUCUAGCUUAAUUAUCUAGUCUGAUCUAAUUCAUCAUCCAGCUCAUUGACUUUCAUUCAGUGGUUCGUAGAACAUGCUCCAAAACCUGUGGUGCCUGGAUCACUUUGAUCAUAGAUGGAGACAGGAUGUUACAGGUAUGAAGAAGCCAAAUUGGCUCAUUACUUCAUUAAAUCAGGGCAUAGAGAAGAGCUACAACCCAAAUGGGGAUGUGACACUGCCUUAUCAGCUCAUCCAUCCAGUCUCUCCCACUGUCUCCAGGCAGAGGUUAAAUGGGCUUUGCCCAGAGUGGUUGGAUGCCUGGUUUAUUGACAGUAUUGGCUGCAAAAAAAAAAAAGGCCAUAAACACAAUGUAAAGGUAAAAAGAGGUGGGACUGAGCUGGGCUUUUUUUAAUCUCUUCCUUCUCCUCCUCAUAAAUAAUAUAACCAAUUAGGUUUUCAUUUCAUUCUUGGUCUCUCUUUGCUUCCAGCUGACCUCCUGAGCUGAAUCUGAACCCUUGAUCCUCACUCGUGGGGUAAGGUUGAAACUCGCUUGGCCAGUGUUCACUGACGAGGCUGUAGCAGCAUUGCUCUGCCAAGCAAAUAAAACUCUCUGAUUACAUCCACACUAAUAACCAGCACAGGUCUCUGCUGGCCACACAGCUCAACUUUUAGCAUGGUCCCUGGAACAGUUUUAGCCAAGACUAAGGAGUCCCAACGGUCCUGUAGUCGCACAGGCCAGACAGCCUUCCCAGUGACAAGGAUGGAUGUGACCAACCUCUCCCGGAAAAUAAUGGAGAUUAAUGAUACCGGGCCAGGGAACGGGCCCUGGCAAUGCUCAUUUUGCUGGCAGUAAAACACAAUGGAGAUACUUAAGUGCCUGCUCUAGAAGAUGUUCUGGUAAGAUGAGCCACAUAGGUCACAACGUUUCAGCUUUUUAUGGGUUAGUUCAGUCUGUCCCUUCUCGCAUAUGAAGUGCAUUUGGGACCUUAAUGCUAAAGCUGGCAGGAGACGAGAUGGGGAGGAAGCAGAAUGGGUUUUAUUGGAUCAUUUUUACUGGAGGCUGAUGUCUCCAGCUUUCCAAGGACACCUUGCGUCUCAUUGCUUUGCUGAAGCAUGAAGUCAAGGAGUUUGGCAGCAGUUGAGCAAUCAGUCACUCCUCUCUGCUUUAAAACAUUCCCUAACUCUUUGUUCCAGUAAGGACCACUGAAUUCAAAGUGGGAGAUCAUAUCCAGGGUGGAUGCUGAAGGCAAGGAAGCAGAAAAAAUCUUGAGUAAAGUUUACAAGCAGCUUUUCAAAUGGCUCGAAUGAAGUUCCCUUGGCUGUAUUUCUGCUGUUCCCCAGCUCAUCCCUCCGUUGCCUUGUAAACUGUUUGUACAGAAGGACAGCUACUCCUGUAUCUUAACAACUUACCUGGUGAUUCCUGGGACGGCAUUUCCAAACGAAGCAGGUAAAACCCCCUUUCCCUAAGCUGAAUCCUCUUUCUGUAAGAGUCACCCUCACCCCUGGGCAGCUGUAACACCACAUCGGAGCCCAGCAUUCAGCUCCCACCAAAGAGCCGUGCU